Long non-coding RNA from Arachis stenosperma, 1425 nucleotides. RefSeq lists it as uncharacterized. Lineage: Eukaryota; Viridiplantae; Streptophyta; Magnoliopsida; Fabales; Fabaceae. The record is from RefSeq and is a predicted model, not a curated record. The transcript is spliced from 6 exons.
AAAUCACAGGCUAGUCAUCAGCAUCAAAACACAUAUUCACCAUGUGUCCAGCUCCCCUGUCAAAAAAAACAAACCAUUUCUCACUCUCAUCUUCUUUUCUUUCUCAAUCUCCUCCGUACCUUCCUCUCCUCGUUGCACCACAUCGACGCCGCGGCUCUGGAAUGUGAUGCCGUCGCUGCAGCUUUGCUGCGUCCCAUCGCCGCCUCGCCGUGCUCCUCUGCUUCUCUUUCCUCCACUUCUUUAUUGUGCUCCCCGUCGUGCUCCUCUGUUGCCGUGCCACCUCAGCUCCAUCCAUCGCUGCUCGAUUCACUCUCCAUCAUAACAAUAGAAAUUGGAGACCUGUGCUCUAAUCAUGGAGUGAAAACGUUCACUGAGGAAUUGAACAACUUCUCUGGUGUAAAAGGAUACUGCGUUUAUGCUUGCAUUCCUCUUGUUUUUUUAUAUUAAUUUCUUCACUAUAUGUAGAGUACAGUAAUUUUAUAGUGCAUCAUUUCUAGUAUUGCCCCAGUUAUGCUUAGAACUCAGCAUGCUGAAGCUGUAAUUUAACUUUCUUCACUGAUAAAGUUUCCCAAUUUUUCCAGUGAGGUAGGCAAUGGAUCAUGGAAUUCAUGGUUUCUGCCUUUGACAGAGCAGACUAAUAUUGUUUGUGAAAAGAUGAUUAGGAUUCCUGCAGUAUUAUGCAAAACACACUAGAAGCAGCAAUAAAUGACAUAAACAAUUCUUUUGGAAAGGGAAGUUUUACAAGUUGGGCAAUGCUGGGGGAGCUUUAGUUGAAACAUGUCCUAGUGGCUGUUUGACCUUGGACUGUGCUUUAGGUGGCGGUCUUCCAAAAGGUAGAAUUGCUGAGGUGCUAAACGCAGGCAAAAAUAAGCUUAGAUCCAUGGAUGAGGUCAGAUCACUUGUUAGCCUCCGAGCACUGAUUUUGAAGGGUCAGACUUCUUUUGCUAACUAUCAACUUUGAAGACAAGAAGAGGGCAAGAUUCCAUGGUUAGAAUGAGGAUGAUCGUGCUGAAGUUGUUGAUAAUCUUGAAUUUGAGAGAAAAUCGAGUAAGAAAAAGAAGAAAACUGUUUAUGAUUUCAAGAAGGAAGUCAGAGUCGCUGACGAGGAAAAUUAGAUCAUAACAAGAAAUCAACUAAGAAAAAGCUCAAGAAUGAUAGACAAGCCCACAGACAAGAAAUUAGCUCUGCAGGAGAAUGUUAUUUGGAUCGAGAAGAAACAUAAGAAAAAACAAAAGAAUGAGAACAAAGUGAACUUGAUACGAUUGUUUAUAUCUAAUGUAUCAAUACACUAUUUGUGUUUAUGUUUUGAGUUGACUUGUUUGUUUUUAAUACUUUUCUUUUAGGUUGAUAAUACGAUGAACUUGUAUAUUUUUUAAAAUACUAUGAAUGUUCUAAUACAAGUUAGAUAAAAAUUAGAUGAAAAUU